Molecule: ribosomal RNA, 433 nt
Filed under: uncultured bacterium
Lineage: Bacteria
Description: partial 16S ribosomal RNA
Rfam family: Bacterial small subunit ribosomal RNA
Source: RNAcentral
AGCGAACGCUGGCGGCAGGCCUAACACAUGCAAGUCGAACGAACUCUUCGGAGUUAGUGGCGGACGGGUGAGUAACACGUGGGAACGUGCCUUUUGGUUCGGAAUAACUCAGGGAAACUUGUGCUAAUACCGAAUGUGCCCUUCGGGGGAAAGAUUUAUCGCCAUUAGAGCGGCCCGCGUCUGAUUAGCUAGUUGGUGAGGUAACGGCUCACCAAGGCGACGAUCAGUAGCUGAUCUGAGAGGAUGACCAGCCACACUGGGACUGAGACACGGCCCAGACUCCUACGGGAGGCAGCAGUGGGGAAUCUUGCGCAAUGGGCGAAAGCCUGACGCAGCCAUGCCGCGUGAAUGAUGAAGGUCUUAGGAUUGUAAAAUUCUUUCACCGGGGACGAUAAUGACGGUACCCGGAGAAGAAGCCCCGGCUAACUUCGUG